GCUGCUAACUUGAUUCUGAUUUACUGUAGAAUUUGGGGACAAUUUAUUCCUUUCAUCUAAGUUCCUAUUCUUAUUCUAUUUCACACUGCUGUUGGUGUCUUUCUUGCUGUUGGAGUAUAAUGGUUCAAUCUAUGAGAGGAGUAUCUAUACAGUGCCAUGGUUGUUAGUUUCCUGCAGUAGAAACCAUUCCCCAAAUAAAACACACUGACAGGUCUGUUGGAAUACUGGACCACAUCUGAUUGGCGCCAUUCACAAACUUGUUUCCCACUGUCUCGACUGAUGUCCAUCACCUGAAAGUCUGAUGGAGAAUGCCAUGUGGAGCUUAUCACUGCAUCAGACUCCAGUCUCCUAGAUGUAUACUGACCUACAACAACAUGAAGUAAACAAAGAGCUCUGACUUGGAGGUGGAAGCCUGCAGUCCAUGUCUGGUCAUCGAAUUAACUACUGCUAAAGUAUGGAUUUUCUCAAGCCUCUGCUUCCUUGUCCCUAUGAUCAAAGCAGUAGACUAGGUUGUUCCUACCUCUGGUACAUGGUCUAGAGCCUGAAACAUGGUCCAGCACUAGAUAAGAGACAACCUGCAUGGUGCUUAAAGGAAACACAGCCUGAAGCCCAGGAGAAAUCACUUGCCUCCACCUUCUUAAUUCACCAUGAAUGUGACCAGAGAGAAGCACGGUCUCUUGUUCUGAGGAAAGACAAGCCAGUAUUCAGCUCUGAGCAUCCCUAGGGCUUUCCUGGGAUGCUUGCCUUCGCAUUCAGACACCACUCAUGAUCACCUGGAGCCGUCUUCCCAGAAGCAGCAAAGUAAGGGCUUACACAUCGGAGGAAAAAUGCAGAGUAGGCAACAUUGAGGAGCAGUAGAGACACAAUGGAGGCAUGGUAGAGGCCCAUUGUUUCCUCUGGGAGGCGCACUCUGUAACAGUGCUGGAGUUAUAGGUAAAUCUGUUAUCUCAACGAACUUUCACAACCUUGUGAAAGAAAAGGGUAAGCAUGGCUGUUUAGAAACUAAGAAACGGAGUCAGAGAAAUUCUGAAUCUUAGAAGGCAAUCUGGAUGACUAUCCAGUACUUACAUGGUGAGGGCUGCAAGCCAGGCUCUCUGGCUCCAAAUGCUAUAUGCUUUGGCUACAUUUUGUUUCUUCUCCUUGUGUCCUCUGUUGGACCUGACAAAAUUCCUACAGGGAAAUAAGGGGAAGUGUAUGUGUUUCCAUAUUAUAAGGCAACAAGUCAAAGCUCAAGGAGACUUUUCAGUGUCCUGAUAACCAGCAGAGA
Non-coding RNA from Cricetulus griseus (Chinese hamster), 1267 nucleotides. The record is from RefSeq and is a predicted model, not a curated record. NCBI's taxonomy places the organism in Eukaryota, Metazoa, Chordata, Mammalia, Rodentia, Cricetidae.